GGAAGUGAAUCUGAACCGUUCAUCGCAAUUCAAUAUGAGCCGCUUGUACACGAUGCAAUCUGGGCCGUCCGUGCGUGUUUUCAAUCUGGGCCGUCCGUGCGCGUUUUCAAUCUGGGUCGUCCGUGCGCGCGGGAACGGAUCUCAACCGUUCGAUCGCGAGCACGCGGAUCGCCCACGUGGCUCCCCCCGCGUGGCCUCCCGCGUCAGUGCCUCUACCACCUGGCGCGCUCUUGUUGGUCGGGGCUGCUGAUCGGGCAUCUGACGUGGCGCAUUUUUUUCAAAUUGCACAUUG
Molecule: long non-coding RNA, 292 nt
Filed under: Carica papaya (papaya)
Lineage: Eukaryota; Viridiplantae; Streptophyta; Magnoliopsida; Brassicales; Caricaceae
Description: long non-coding RNA (CPAP_LNC015987)
Source: RNAcentral